This 825-nucleotide ribosomal RNA is filed under the name Pratylenchus scribneri. Its description in RNAcentral is "eukaryotic LSU rRNA". The stretch from base 392 to 545 matches the Rfam family "5.8S ribosomal RNA". Lineage: Eukaryota; Metazoa; Nematoda; Chromadorea; Rhabditida; Pratylenchidae. The record is from RNAcentral.
CAUUCGUACCAAAAUGUAUGGUCAAACUUGUUUUUGUUAUGGAGCACUCCUCAUCAGAUGUGUGCGAUGAGUUUUAUGCGAGUGCGAGUUGUAUGUGCACAGUUGUGUGCCGGCACAUACGGCGACUUUCCGCUUAACCGCACAAGUGAGCUGUGUGGUUCCAUCGGUGUUUUGAUGGCUUUUGCGAUGGAGCGGUCAAGAAAACGGCUUCUGCUGGUGUCUAUGUGUUGCUGAGCAGUCGUCUUCGUCCGUGGCUGUGAUGAGGCAAUGCGGUAGGGCCUGUAUACGGUGUGUGUAUGCAUGGCUUAAGACUUGAUGAGCCCAUUUAUAGUGUGUGGGACGCCAGCACCCCAUUUUUUCCAAUAUUUUUUUUAUGACAAAUGGAAAAUUCUAGUCUUAUCGGUGGAUCACUCGGCUCGUGGGUCGAUGAAGAACGCAGCUAACUGCGAUAAAUAGUGUGAACUGCAGAAACCUUGAACACAAAAGCUUCGAAUGCACAUUGCACCAUGGGAGUCUUAUCCCUUGGUACGCCUGGUUCAGGGUCGUAAACCCUAAAACGCAUAUGAAUGCGUAUAAAACAGAGAUAGCUUCACUAAUUGCCUGUGAAGUGUAGCUAUAAUUCAUGCAAAAGUUGCACACUAUUGGUGUGAUGCGGGGUAGAGCACUCGACUUAGUAAUUGGGAUUACUAAAUUAUAGUCGUAGUGUUCAUCGGGGCAGACACCUCUCGAAUCGCAUCUGGCCAAACCAUGUGUGGGUGUUCGUGUGUGACUUUGAGUGUUUGUGUGUUUUUUUUUCACUCACUACAUCGAAUUUUCGACCUGAAC